Apodemus sylvaticus (European woodmouse) is the source of this 2588-nucleotide long non-coding RNA. RefSeq lists it as uncharacterized. NCBI's taxonomy places the organism in Eukaryota, Metazoa, Chordata, Mammalia, Rodentia, Muridae. The transcript is spliced from 3 exons. The record is from RefSeq and is a predicted model, not a curated record.
CCCAAUGCAGGCCACAAGUUUAUUAAUGAUUCAUGGGAAAAGAACAAUCAUCCUGCUGGCAGCGGCACAUGUAAUUAACCAGCUUCACAGAGAGCUGGCCUUCUACACAUCUCCCAUUUGCAGACCACAGAACUACCUGACAUAGUCACACUGGGUUUCCAGUGACAUCUUCCAAUUGGAAAAGGGAUAUCCAAAAUAGUGACCUCAACCCACUAGGUACUCAGCCAGCACAAUAGAGGUGGCAGUGCUCUUGUGGCCACACCUGGCUGAGUGCUGGGUAACAUGAAAGAUGUCAGCCCUGACAGCAACAAGUAGCCAGCCCUGGGAUCAUACUGACUACCAUUAACUGCACACUGAGGUAAGUGGCUAAGCAGGGCCAUCCUUUAGGAAGCAAACCACAUAUUACUUCUCCAUCACAACUGAACCAAAGAAGAUGUUUCUGAGAAUUGGCCUACUUUGCAUGAUAGCAGUGAACCUCGGAUGGAGGGUUGGAAAGGUGAGAGUUCUAGGUAAGAAGCAACAACAUUCCUAUUUUCAUAUAUUUGAAAGAGAGAAGCAGCGGCUAGGUUAGCCAACUUGGCUCUGUAGUCAGUGUGAACUUCCCUCUGUAGAGACCUGGGAAUAAAAACCAGUUUUUACCCAUGCAAAUUGCUAUUUGCAACAAUGAAGUUCUAAAAUGAGCACUUUGUUGUGAAGGGCUUUAGUUGCACAUUUAAGAUGUGUUCUCUCUCACUUUUCCCAAGUGACAGACGGUAUGACCAGUGAAGGGGAACAGCACACAUACCUGAACAUACACACCUUCCAUGUGUACUUCCAGGAUUAAGAGAAGUGUGACUAGGAAAGAAGCAAAGAUGUCCAUAAAAAGUAGUGAGAAUAAGUUUGAGAACAAGCUGUCCCCUGUGACUGUGAAACCCUGUUGUUUGAGACAGGUUCAAGCUCCCACGGUGGAUAUUCAGGAUGACUAAAGAGGAGAGAGAAGCCAGAACUCUGUUUCAGGAGCAUCUACUAUACCUCAAUUAAAACAAAUGGCACCAGCUCCCCUAGCCCAACCCUUUGUUUUCCUCUUGAUAACACUUCCAUAUGUACUGGGCCACAAGCCCUAUCUAGCUCCUGGCAGCCCAGGAAGAUGAACUUGCUUGGCAACAGCUGUCUCCAUGGGACUGCUUGUAGAGAACGUGCCUGUCAUCAGAAUAGACAGCAUCGGGCUAGAGAGAUGGCUCAGCGGUUAAGAGCACUGACUGCUCUUCCGAAGGUCCUGAGUUCAAAUCCCAGCAACCACGUGGUGGCUCACAACCAUCCGUAAUGAAAUCUGACAUCCUCUUCUGGUGUGUCUGAAGACAGCCACAGUGUACUCACAUAUAAUAAUAAAUAAAAAUAAACCUUUAAAAAAAAAGAAUAGACAGCAUCAAGUCUGGUGAGGGGCAGAGCCUGUGCCUAGUGUGUCUAUGAAGGGUUUGUAGGACCCUGUCGGCAAUAAUGCUCUCAGAGACAGCAAGUGCACUAGCCUUGCUUCAGGCCUCACUUUAAAUGACAUUCAAAUGAGUCCUGUGGAUCAUUUUGGCGGAAAGAUGCAAGAAGAAAUCAUGUUUGAGUCUUUCCAUCUUUACCCUGGGACUGAUCUGGGUCAGGACUAAAGAUGAAAGCAAGAGAGGACCAUGCCAGGAGCGCCUUGGCAUUGCCAAGGGUGCUGCUGCUGCUACUUGGGGGAGGAAGGUACAAUUUCAGGUCCACCAAGCACUAUAUUUCUUAAUUUUUGAUGGAACAACAGUACAAAAAACAAGCUGACCUGGCAGAGAAAAAUACAAAUGCCUCUCAAAGAAGAGUUUGCAACAGUGGAGACCAGCUCCUAAGGGAAAGGUACAAUGCUUCUGCUGAAUAGGAUUUUCUUUCCAGGCACAGAAUCACACCCCGGAGACCCUCUCCUCCAUGUUUCAAAGAGUCCACAUCUCUUCUGUUCUAUGCCAUGCCUGUCCCACCCUCAUUGCCAGCAGCAGUGACAGAUGUGGACACUAUUUCUGGAGGGCACUGAGGCCUAUCAAACCUACACUAGAUAGCCCCUAUGACACACAGGUAAUAGGAUCUUGGCCAAGCCAAUGACAAAUUAGCCCUAGCAACUAUUUCAGAAGAAUGGAUGUAAUUCUAUGCUUGACUGACUAUGAAAGUCCUCAGUAGAAGAACAGCAGAGCUGAGCCAGCAGCUCUGCAGAAAGGAACCCUACCGGAGCCAGCAAACAGGCCAAGCUUGCUGAGGAAGGCCACUGGGACUUAAAACUGACAGAGGGACCCAGCAGGCAGGGGAAGGAGGAAAAAAGAGCAUCAUGACAGCAGGACUCAUUUAAAACUUUUGCUGUAACCACCACUCCUUUUGAGACAAGGUCUCACUGUGGAAUGUAGGCUGGCCUGGAACUCAGGGCCAUCUUGCCUCUGUCUCCUCAAUGCUACAACUGAAGGUAUGCACCACUACACCUGGCUUAUGAUGCUAUUUUCAUUUAGAGGCUGGGAUGGGAUUUGAGGUUUCUUUUCCCAGGGGAUUGAUAAGUAGCUGGGAAGAGCUUGAAGCUCAAGAGUGAAGAGUCAGAGCAGUUUGAU